GAUGAACGCUAGCGGGAGGCUUAAUACAUGCAAGUCGAGCGGCAAGUUUUGAUAGCAAUAUUGGAACCUAGAGCGGCGCACGGGUGAGUAACGCGUACAUGACCUGCCCUAUACUGGGGGAUAGUCUUGGGAAACUGAGAAUAAUCCCGCAUGUGAUUAGAAUGCUGCAUGGCAAAUUAUUAAAGCUGAGGCGGUAUAGGAUGGGUGUGCGUCUGAUUAGCUAGUUGGUAGUGUAACGGACUACCAAGGCGAUGAUCAGUAGGGGGCGUGAGAGCGUGACCCCCCACACGGUACGUNAGACACGACCGACUCUACGGAGGCANCAGUAAGGAAUAUUGGUCGAAUAGGAGGGAACGUACUGAACCAACG
This 369-nucleotide ribosomal RNA is filed under the name uncultured bacterium. Its description in RNAcentral is "bacterial SSU rRNA". It matches the Rfam family "Bacterial small subunit ribosomal RNA", at positions 28 to 393 of the family's 1533-position model. The record is from RNAcentral.